UGACAGUACUCCUACGGGGAGGCAGCAGUGGGGGAAUAUUGCACAAUGGGCGCAAGCCUGAUGCAGCCAUGCCGCGUGUGUGAAGAAGGCCUUCGGGUUGUAAAGCACUUUCAGUCGUGAGGAAGGUAGUGUAGUUAAUAGCUGCAUUAUUUGACGUUAGCGACAGAAGAAGCACCGGCUAACUCCGUGCCAGCAGCCGCGGUAAUACGGAGGGUGCGAGCGUUAAUCGGAAUUACUGGGCGUAAAGCGCAUGCAGGUGGUUUGUUAAGUCAGAUGUGAAAGACCCGGGGCUCAACCUCGGAAUAGCAUUUGAAACUAGGCAGACUAGAGUACUGUAGAGGGGGGUAGGAAUUUCAGGUGUAGCGGUGAAAUGCGUAGAGAUCUGAAGGAAUACCGGUGGCGAAGGCGGCCCCCUGGACAGAUACUGACACUCAGAUGCGAAAGCGUGGGGAGCAAACAGGAUUAGAUACCCUGGUAG
RNAcentral lists this ribosomal RNA (478 nucleotides) under uncultured bacterium. Its description in RNAcentral is "bacterial SSU rRNA". It matches the Rfam family "Bacterial small subunit ribosomal RNA", at positions 328 to 793 of the family's 1533-position model. The record is from RNAcentral.